AUACGGAGGGUGCAAGCGUUACUCGGAAUCACUGGGCGUAAAGCGCGCGCAGGCGGUCUUUUAAGUUGGAUGUGAAAGCCUACGGCUCAACCGUAGAACUGCAUCCAAAACUAUUAGACUAGAGUGUGGGAGAGGAAGAUGGAAUUAGUUGUGUAGGGGUAAAAUCCGUAGAGAUAACUAGGAAUACCAAAAGCGAAGGCAAUCUUCUGGAACACUACUGACGCUGAGGCGCGAAAGCGUGGGGAGCAAACAGAAUUAGAAACCCUAGUAGUCC
Molecule: ribosomal RNA, 274 nt
Filed under: uncultured bacterium
Lineage: Bacteria
Description: partial 16S ribosomal RNA
Rfam family: Bacterial small subunit ribosomal RNA
Source: RNAcentral